CCUACGGGUGGCAGCAGUGGGGAAUAUUGGGCAAUGGGCGCAAGCCUGACCCAGCAAUGCCGCGUGAAGGAAGAAGGCUUUCGGGUUGUAAACUUCUUUGACAGGGGAAGAGCAGAAGACGGUACCCUGAGAACAAGCCACGGCUAACUACGUGCCAGCAGCCGCGGUAAUACGUAGGUGGCAAGCGUUGUCCGGAUUUACUGGGUGUAAAGGGCGUGUAGCCGGGAAGGCAAGUCAGAUGUGAAAUCUGGAGGCUCAACCUCCAAAUUGCAUUUGAAACUGUUUUUCUUGAGUACUGGAGAGGCAGACGGAAUUCCUUGUGUAGCGGUGAAAUGCGUAGAUAUAAGGAGGAACACCAGUGGCGAAGGCGGUCUGCUGGACAGCAACUGACGGUGAGGCGCGAAAGUGUGGGUAUCAAACAGGAUUAGAUACCCUAGUAGUC
RNAcentral lists this ribosomal RNA (442 nucleotides) under uncultured bacterium. RNAcentral's name for it is "partial 16S ribosomal RNA". It matches the Rfam family "Bacterial small subunit ribosomal RNA", at positions 338 to 795 of the family's 1533-position model. The record is from RNAcentral.